GAUGAACGCUGGCGGCGUGCCUAAUACAUGCAAGUCGAGCGAACAGAUGAGGAGCUUGCUCCUCUGACGUUAGCGGCGGACGGGUGAGUAACACGUGGAUAACCUACCUAUAAGACUGGGAUAACUUCGGGAAACCGGAGCUAAUACCGGAUAAUAUAUUGAACCGCAUGGUUCAAUAGUGAAAGACGGUUUUGCUGUCACUUAUAGAUGGAUCCGCGCCGCAUUAGCUAGUUGGUAAGGUAACGGCUUACCAAGGCAACGAUGCGUAGCCGACCUGAGAGGGGGAUCGGCCACACUGGAACUGAGACACGGUCCAGACUCCUACGGGAGGCAGCAGUAGGGAAUCUUCCGCAAUGGGCGAAAGCCUGACGGAGCAACGCCGCGUGAGUGAUGAAGGUCUUCGGAUCGUAAAACUCUGUUAUUAGGGAAGAACAAAUGUGUAAGUAACUAUGCACGUCUUGACGGUACCUAAUCAGAAAGCCACGGCUAACUACGUG
This 497-nucleotide ribosomal RNA is filed under the name uncultured bacterium. Its description in RNAcentral is "partial 16S ribosomal RNA". It matches the Rfam family "Bacterial small subunit ribosomal RNA", at positions 28 to 507 of the family's 1533-position model. The record is from RNAcentral.